GCGAGGACCCCUACUACUUCUUCUUUUGCUCCUUCUUCUUCAGUAGUAGCAGAAGCAGAAGCACAUCCUUCUUCCUCUUCCUCACCAUUGCCCCGCGGGCAAAAAGAAAGAUUUCUCACUCCUUUGAGUCUAACACGACGAA
Non-coding RNA from Caenorhabditis elegans, 142 nucleotides. NCBI's taxonomy places the organism in Eukaryota, Metazoa, Nematoda, Chromadorea, Rhabditida, Rhabditidae. The record is from Ensembl.